RNAcentral lists this ribosomal RNA (406 nucleotides) under uncultured bacterium. RNAcentral's name for it is "partial 16S ribosomal RNA". It matches the Rfam family "Bacterial small subunit ribosomal RNA", at positions 29 to 526 of the family's 1533-position model. The record is from RNAcentral.
AUUGAACGCUGGCAGCAGGCCUAACACAUGCAAGUCGAACGAGUGGCGGACGGGUGAGUAAUGUCUGGGAAACUGCCCGAUGGAGGGGGAUAACUACUGGAAACGGUAGCUAAUACCGCAUACCAUCGGAUGUGCCCAGAUGGGAUUAGCUAGUAGGUGGGGUAACGGCUCACCUAGGCGACGAUCCCUAGCUGGUCUGAGAGGAUGACCAGGCAGACUGGAACUGAGAAACGGUCGAGAAGCCUACGGGAGGCGGCAGUGGGGAAUAUUGCACAAGGGGCGCGAGCCUGAGGCAGCCAUGCCGCGUGUAUGAAGAAGGCCUGCGGUUUGUAAAGUACUUUCAGCGAGGAGGCGUGACUCGCAGAAGAAGCACCGGCUAACUCCGGUCAAGCCGCCGCGGUAAUUC